GGCAGCAUGGCGUAGUGGUUUGAGUGUUGAAUUAUAACUCUGGAGGCCAGGGUUCAAAUCCCUGUUUGGCAA
Non-coding RNA from Phrynosoma platyrhinos (Desert horned lizard), 72 nucleotides. NCBI's taxonomy places the organism in Eukaryota, Metazoa, Chordata, Lepidosauria, Squamata, Phrynosomatidae. The record is from the annotation of a GenBank genome assembly.